This 813-nucleotide long non-coding RNA is filed under the name Mus musculus (house mouse). Its description in RNAcentral is "long non-coding RNA chr3:108571726-108572539". The record is from RNAcentral. Lineage: Eukaryota; Metazoa; Chordata; Mammalia; Rodentia; Muridae.
AGAUGAGGAGGAAGACCCCACCGUGAGUGAGCGCCUGUCUCAGCCUGGUUCCUCACUCCUUUCGGAUCACUAGCGGAGGCAGAGUCUGACCCGCUUGUGCCUUAGGGAUUCCCGCCGAGAGUCCGGGGGCUCCGCGGUGUUUUCCUUUUUUGGUUUACCUUAGUCAGUGCGUGGGACAAGACGGGAAGGAAGAGUAGAAAGGGUCUCUCUUUGACCUGGAUCUUCCCGACACUAAGACAUCUAGAGGGUCAUAGGAGAUCAAAGCUGAUUAAAGCGGAACCAGCAGCCCAGAUGCUGACAAAACUAGUGAAGAUAGCGGAGAAACGAUGAACUAAAGACAGGAAGCUUGGGAUCCAAAUUCUCCUUUGGCAUCGGUUUUCUUGUGAGGUAGAGUCCAGCCCAGUUAAGGAAAGUUCUUAGCCCUUUAUCAGUUGCUUCCGAUGACAGCAGAGAGUAGAUUUUAAACUACCAGGUUUUUACAGUAGUCUUGCUUAGCAGUGUGACAACUAAAUUGGCUAAAACCAAACCCAGAACCUGAGGUCGUUAGAACUUUACACACGCACGGUUGUAAGGUUGUUAGCAGCCGUAAUAAAAGCCUUCUUGCACGACUUGAGAAUUGGACUAGGGCUUAUGAGCCCUUUGGUGCUAAAUUUUCGUGGUUUUGUGCAGUUUGCUUUAGCUUCUCACUUUCGAAAAUGAAAAAGGGUCACUGGGCGUGGUGGCGCACACCUUUAAUCCCAGCACUCAGGAGCAGAGGCAAGCGGAUCUCCGUGAGUUCAGGCAGACACGGGCACAUAGUGAGACCACUUUGUC